RNAcentral lists this ribosomal RNA (309 nucleotides) under uncultured soil bacterium. Its description in RNAcentral is "bacterial SSU rRNA". It matches the Rfam family "Bacterial small subunit ribosomal RNA", at positions 26 to 336 of the family's 1533-position model. The record is from RNAcentral.
AGAUUGAACGCUGGCGGCAGGCCUAACACAUGCAAGUCGAGCGGUAGAGAGGUGCUUGCACCUCUUGAGAGCGGCGGACGGGUGAGUAAUGCCUAGGAAUCUGCCUAGUGGUGGGGGAUAACGGUUCGGAAACGGACGCUAAUACCGCAUACGUCCUACGGGAGAAAGCGGGGGACCUUCGGGCCUCGCGCCAUUAGAUGAGCCUAGGUCGGAUUAGCUAGUUGGUGAGUAAUGGUUCACCGAAGGCGACGAUCCGUAACUGGUCUGAGAGGAUGAUCAGUCACACUGGAACUGAGACACGGUCCAGAC